GCCGGGGUGGCCUAGUUGGUUAGGGCGUCAGACUCAUAGGGAUUUAAGAUGUGAAUGCCUGAAACCUGAGAUAUCUGAAGGUCGCGGGUCCGAGUCCCGCCCCCGGUA
This 108-nucleotide transfer RNA is filed under the name Candidatus Syntropharchaeum caldarium. RNAcentral describes it as "Candidatus Syntrophoarchaeum caldarius tRNA". It matches the Rfam family "tRNA". From Rfam's summary of the family: Transfer RNA (tRNA) molecules are approximately 80 nucleotides in length. Lineage: Archaea; Methanobacteriati; Halobacteriota; Candidatus Syntropharchaeia; Candidatus Syntropharchaeales. The record is from Rfam by way of RNAcentral.